CAGUCGCCGCGGGAAUACGAAGGGGGCUAGCGUUGCUCGGAAUGACUGGGCGUAAAGGGCGCGUAGGCGGCGGCCAAAGUCAGGCGUGAAAUUCCCGGGCUCAACCUGGGGGCUGCGUUUGAUACUUGGUUGCUUGAGUGGGGAAGAGGGUCGUGGAAUUCCCAGUGUAGAGAUGAAAUUCGUAGAUAUUGGGAAGAACACCGGUGGCGAAGGCGGCGACCUGGUCCUUUACUGACGCUGAGGCGCGAAAGCGUGGGGAGCAAACAGGAUUAGAUACCCCCGUAGUCCCUGUCUCUUAUAC
Molecule: ribosomal RNA, 301 nt
Filed under: uncultured bacterium
Lineage: Bacteria
Description: partial 16S ribosomal RNA
Rfam family: Bacterial small subunit ribosomal RNA
Source: RNAcentral